This 253-nucleotide ribosomal RNA is filed under the name uncultured bacterium. RNAcentral describes it as "partial 16S ribosomal RNA". It matches the Rfam family "Bacterial small subunit ribosomal RNA", at positions 524 to 774 of the family's 1533-position model. The record is from RNAcentral.
UACGAAGGGGGCGAGCGUUGUUCGGAUUUACUGGGCGUAAAGGGCUCGUAGGCGGCCAACUAAGUCAGACGUGAAAUCCCUCGGCUUAACCGGGGAACUGCAUCUGAUACUGGAUGGCUUGAGAUUGGGAGAGGGAUGCGGAAUUCCAGGUGUAGCGGUGAAAUGCGUAGAUAUCUGGAAGGAACACCGGUGGCGAAGGCGGCUCUCUGGACGGUGACUGACGCUGAGACGACGAAAGCGUGGGGAGCAACAG